CCUACGGGCGGCAGCAGUGAGGAAUAUUGGUCAAUGGGCGCGAGCCUGAACCAGCCAAGUAGCGUGAAGGAUGACUGCCCUACGGGUUGUAACCUUCUUUUAUAAAGGAAUAAAGUGAGGCACGUGUGCCUUUUUGUAUGUACUUUAUGAAUAAGGAUCGGCUAACUCCGUGCCAGCAGCCGCGGUAAUACGGAGGAUCCGAGCGUUGUCCGGAUUUGUUGGGUUUAAAGGGGUCGUAGACGGGUUGUUAAGUCAGUUGUGAAAGUUUGCGGCUCAACCUUAAAAUUGCAAUUGAUACUGGCGGCCUUGAGUACAGUUGAGGUAGGCGGAAUUCGUGGUGUAGCGGUGAAAUGCUUAGAUAUCACGAAGAACUCCGAUUGCGAAGGCAGCUUACUAAACUGCAACUGACAUUGAUGCUCGAAAGUGUGGGUAUCAAACAGGAUUAGAUACCCGGGUAGUC
This 460-nucleotide ribosomal RNA is filed under the name uncultured bacterium. RNAcentral's name for it is "partial 16S ribosomal RNA". It matches the Rfam family "Bacterial small subunit ribosomal RNA", at positions 338 to 795 of the family's 1533-position model. The record is from RNAcentral.